CUUGCAUAAGUCCAGCUGACAAAAAACCAUCAACGAUGGCGAUCUCAGAGGGUGAUGAAAUACGAUCAGGUUAAAAUCUCCCAGCACGAUCGCACUAUCGCCCGGUGUCAUGGUUUCAACGAUGGAGUCAACAAAAUUCACAAACGAGUGAUAUCGACGAGCGUUCGAGAUCGCAUCAUUUCGGUGCACAAAAUACGUUGAUGGACUGCGAUGAGUACUCCACCGUCCGAUUGCUUAUCGCUGUUUUGAGGAUUACUGUCGCAACGGAAGACAGAAAAGCAAGAAGGGAACAACAUUCUAUCUUGCACAGCUGAAUCCAAAAAUUCCUAAACUCGAUGUGACAAUAGGUUGCUGUUCUUCCUCUACUACGGGAACAGCGAGA
Armigeres subalbatus is the source of this 382-nucleotide long non-coding RNA. RefSeq lists it as uncharacterized. The transcript has 4 exons. NCBI's taxonomy places the organism in Eukaryota, Metazoa, Arthropoda, Insecta, Diptera, Culicidae. The record is from RefSeq and is a predicted model, not a curated record.